CCACAAAUAACACCUUUACUAUAUACGGGCGUGGACUAUGAUGGGCUUCGGCCCAGCCCUCUCUCCUCCCACUGUGGGAGGAUACUUGGGAAAUUUUGGUUUCGAACAGGGUCGUUAUAAAAUGCUUAACCAAAGGAAAACUCAUUAUUUAGGUAUGCUAACUUUGCAGGUUACACAUUAUUACUUUGUAGCUGCGAAAAUGCCGACGCACGUGGCAGACAGACAGACAAUUGUGCUGCAGAUAACAGGUUGCCAGAUUUGAUCAGAUUGAUCUGAAUGUGUCUUAAGGCUUUGACCCCCACAUUGCAAAAUCAUAACCUGGCAACUCCGCAGAAUUUGAAAAGAAUCCUUGAGCACACAAUUUGAUUGAUGUCAUAAAUAGUGAGGACAGUUGGUUACCAUGCCAAUGGGCAAGCUGGGUACAUAAAAUAGCUCCAGAAUGUUCAGUUUCCCACACACUUAAUUGUGUAACACACAGCGAGUCAGCUAGUAGUUUGAGUUGUUAAUGUUUACUCAUUGUCUUUGAGAAUUAGGCUAUAUUUGUCAUCAAAAUGUCACAGCGUGCCCACAAGGAAGGGCUGUGCAAUAUCAAGAUUUUAUGUUUGGCCUUUAUUUUCUGUCUCAUAAAGCCAGUUUUUGCAAAGCCAACUCCUGCAAAUGUUUUUGCUUCCUCAUCAUCGCUGGAGCACAUGACUUUGAUCAACCCUGUUCAGAACAACCCCGAUGUCACAACCCCAAAACUGACCCAUUUUGUAAACACAUUGCUUGGACAAUUUGAGAGUUUGCUGGUGAAAGAUGGUACUUCUCCAGGUAAUUUGGACCAGGUGACUCAAGGAUAUCCCGAACCCUACACAAAUGCUAAAGACCCCCAGGGGCUUGUGAAGUCUCUAAUGUCUGUUCUACAGACUUACAAGAAGCAAACAGCAUCACGAGGCAAUGAUCACGUCUUCAAACUGUGGGGAAAAGCUCCAAAAACAAAGAAGAGCACCAAUGAAAUCAAACCCAGAGUCAACAUAUUGACAGACCCCACUUACUUCGAGCCACUUGUGAAAGUUAACAUGAUUUUGGGCCUCUUUUUCUAUGGCUUCAUCGUGAUAGUGUUUAUCUACGACUCUGUCCGAGUUUCCAUGGAGGCCAGAAGAAGAUCUGACGCUCUAGCUGAUGCUAGGCUGAAGAGAACAGAACCACCCCCUGUUGAACCACAGUCAACUUUAUCCAAAUGUACACUCUCUAUGAUGCCUUACUCUGUGUGCCGUUAAUUUGCUUGAACGUGUGAUCCCUGGCUAAGUUAAGUCUACACUGACUGCAGGGUCUCACAUACUGUUGUAACAAUGCCCUCUUUCCUUUUAGAUCGGCAGAGCAUCGCUUCAUUGUUUCACUUGGAAAAUACAUCAUCCAUAGCUGACCAGUAUAUAUAUAUUUGUGAGAUGCAAUAGCAGUAGUCAAAACAAGCUGUACAUUUUUCAAACUGUCUAUGUAUGUGUUUAAACUGUUAAUGACUGAGUCUGUGUGUUGUAUAAGUGUAUUUCAAACAUUAUUGUUUCGUUGCUUCUGUAGGAAGAGUCUGAGUCAAACAUACAAUUUGCAGACUGUGCAAAUGGAAAAAGUGCUGUCAGCCUUAGAGAGUGGGAGCCUCUGCCUAAGUCUCAGCUGACUGAUGUUUGCGUCAACUGAGGACCACGUCUUAAUACCGAGUGACAUAAUGGAAGCAACAGAAAUGAACUCUCCAAAUAAGAUCAUGUUGAGACUGCCACCUUUGAAGACCGCCACUUUCUGUCUCAUCACUUAGCCCAAUACUUACGUUAGUAAUAAACAUAUCUUGCAUUCAAAAUAUAGGCCUAUGUGAAAAGUAGUUUUUGGUAUAUAUGAUUAACUGCUAUAUUAAUUUAUUUCUUGAUUACUUAUGAAAAUGUAAAAAG
Molecule: long non-coding RNA, 1919 nt
Organism: Oncorhynchus tshawytscha (Chinook salmon)
Lineage: Eukaryota; Metazoa; Chordata; Actinopteri; Salmoniformes; Salmonidae
Exons: 5
Source: RefSeq, a predicted model, not a curated record